GUGACGACAGAGCUAAGUUGUACCCAAACAUGGCCAGAGGAAUCGGGAACAAUAAACCUGUGAGUAAGUUAGGAUGCGAAUCAGAUAUCUCCAAGCCCUACUAUGGAACCAAAUAUAAUCAGGUUGUAUAUCUGCGUGAAAAUUGUGCAAGACCCAAAAGCAAAACGGCUAUACGUAAUAAUCUGUCUAGCAGAGAUUCAUCUGUUAUUAAGAAGGUAUGGGAACCAAUGGAAUUGCGAAAGAAAUAU
This 248-nucleotide unclassified non-coding RNA is filed under the name Hevea brasiliensis (rubber tree). The record is from RNAcentral. Lineage: Eukaryota; Viridiplantae; Streptophyta; Magnoliopsida; Malpighiales; Euphorbiaceae.